UUUCUUUUUCAUUCUAAUGCUUGGUUUGAAUUUCUUGUUCAAACCAGGUUGUCUUGACCAUGUCUACAUGUCUAAAUGCAUUGAGUUGCUGGAUUGGCUGAUAACCAGCUGUUGAACAGGUGUACCUAAUAAUGCGGCUGGCCACACCUCUUCGGAGUAGCAGCGAGCGGAAGCACAGAGCAGCUGCGUCUCCCAUGGUCACGUAGCCCUUCGCAAAACACCCGAGUAAGUUCAACUGAAGUAAAGCCGACAGCUGACCAGGUGAAAUAACUGACAGUGAGAAAUCGAUCGCUCAGUCGUUGGUGGAAACAUAAAUCCGAUGGUCUCCUAGUGAUUCAGCUGAAUGCAGAAAACGCCGAAGCACCAAAGUUACUACAAAAACCGAAGUUACUACAAAAACAGAGAAGAUGAUAUCAGUGCUAAACACCAUUCCCGGGAAAUCCCACCAGGUUCCAACACCCUCGA
Molecule: long non-coding RNA, 465 nt
Organism: Polypterus senegalus (gray bichir)
Lineage: Eukaryota; Metazoa; Chordata; Cladistia; Polypteriformes; Polypteridae
Exons: 3
Source: RefSeq, a predicted model, not a curated record